GGGAGGAUAUUUCUAGAAUAUUUUUGUAGAAGUACGCAUGAACUGAAAAGAAAGAAAAAAUGCAGUGCAUCUAUCUGUUUUAUAUAUGUGGUUUAUUUUUCAUUUUUAAAUUUACCAAUUUUUUUACAAGGAAGCGGUUAUGCUCAUGACAGCUUUUAAUUACUAACGGUUGCAUGGCUAAUCUGUAGCAUAUAAGUGGUAUCUCUAAUACGGGUAGUCAUUAAAAAACAUUUGGUGAUGUCAUGACGCAAGCUAAUUUUGCUGCCUUUACUAACUGUACGGAAAGUGCAGAAAAAUAUUUGACUCUUGUAUCUAUCAAAUAAUUUAAUGUUUAUGUGCUAAUGUUUUGUCUUCUUGUUUACAUUAUACAGAAGAAAAAAAGAUUUUGUUUA
Molecule: long non-coding RNA, 392 nt
Filed under: Mytilus galloprovincialis (Mediterranean mussel)
Lineage: Eukaryota; Metazoa; Mollusca; Bivalvia; Mytilida; Mytilidae
Source: RNAcentral